Coregonus clupeaformis (lake whitefish) is the source of this 2566-nucleotide long non-coding RNA. RefSeq lists it as uncharacterized. Lineage: Eukaryota; Metazoa; Chordata; Actinopteri; Salmoniformes; Salmonidae. The record is from RefSeq and is a predicted model, not a curated record. The transcript is spliced from 2 exons.
UCAAAGUCAAUAUUCAGACCACUAGGGUUCAAUGUUUUUGAAUUGGAACAUGAACAGGUUUAGUCUACACUCAGGUGGAACAACGGAUAUGGAAUGCAUUUGUCAACAACGGUUGUGACAAUGAAUGCAUAUCACAACGGUCGAGAAGUGAGUACACACUUUUAAUGUAGCCUACAUCCGUUAUUAAACUCGAGUGAUGACUAAGCCCUAGAGGUUGUGAAACUUCAGAUGAUUAAGCCUAUGUCAAUUAAGAUCUGAAUGUUUUAUAUCAUUUUUACUGUACACUGUUGAUAGUACUUGAUGCCAAAGCUAAUCACUGAAUAUCCUACUUCAAGGACUCGUUCAGGUUGACAAACUUCUAUGUCAUAUGAACACACACACCAGGGCUUGUCAGCGCGAGUACACUUAGCAGUCGGGAAAAGCUCAUAUUGUGCAUUUCGUGACUGAAUGCAACAAAAAAGAAACAACACGGUGACAUGAUCACUCUCCGCCUCUCAAUCACACACUCACAUAGUUUAGCUUUAUGAUUAUUCUAGUUUAAGGUAAUUGGGCCUCUAUUUCAGGAGAGGAACGACAUGCAUGACCUUCUGGAUCUCCUCUCUGCUGAGACCAAUCCGGCCGCAGCAGCGAAGGCCCAGCUCUAACAGUGGUCCUCCCUACAGGCUGUCCUGUUCUGCUCUCCUUUGCACCAGAUCCUGCCACAACAAAAGAGGAUUGCUCUGAAGAGUACCUGAUGGUUACAGAUCUGCCAAGCACACCACCAUUGCCCUUGACAGCUUCUCCACUGGGCCCAUCAAGAGAUGAGGUUGAGUCUUCAUCUUGUACCAUGGCCGAUGGACAGAGCCCAUUAGAGCUGCCAGUGAUGGGCUAUUGGCCAAGCACCAUGGGGAGGAAGCUAUCCUGAAGCGGGUGAAUCUGCACUGCUCUUAACACCAGCCCAGAGAAGCUCCUAGAGACACACAGCUGUGGCAUUAUGUUACUGCAGAGAGUGAAACGCUCAGUGUCCCAGUCAUGUCCCCUGCCACCUGCACUUACCCAGCAGAAGGCCUCACCAAUUCAACAAUGCCAUUUGAGGAUUUUGCUUCUGCUGGCUUCUUUUAAUGGGAGCUGGAGGCCUCAAAGCAGAGGGGGGCAGUGAGGAAGGAGCGAACAGAGGAAAGAGGAAAGAGAAAAUCCUCAGAGCAGCAUCCCUCCAGCCGUCUGUACAGGUUCUGCCACCAGCCGCUGAAACAAGACCCCAACAGCCCAUAUCAGCUUUCCUUGAGUGGCAGGAAAAUAUCUAGUGCCUAGUGUUUUCCCUGUACCUUGCACAGAGUAUUGGAGGGAGCUUUUAUGAGACUGAAAAGAAGAGAUGGGUGGUGGAGAAGGGGGAGUGACUCUAUACACACACACACACACACAGAAAUAAAUAGGAGCUGAAAAUCUAUUGUCGUGGAAAUUACCACCAGGGAUUCAAAGUCAAACUUAAAUGAAUCAUUCUUUAUUGUCAGUUAACUGAAGAGGUUCCAACAAACUUAAUGCACCAUAGUACACGUCGGUCGGAAGCUCUGUCCCUCAAUUGUCCGCGGAUUAUGUGUCUCGCAGUAAGGGUCUGGGUGGGUCCUCCUUGUCUUUUGGUCAGACGGGAAUUUCCCUCACGCUUCAUAAAAUGCCCCAACGAUUUUCCUUGCAGACCCUCACUGGAAAGCUCCCCAGGCAGAAUCAAUCAUCCUUUUCAUGACGCCAAAUUGUCAAGGAAAUGACCACCAGGGACUCAAAGUCAAACUUAAAUGAAUCAUUCUUUAUUGUCAGUUAACUGGAGAGGUUCCAACAAACUUAAUGCAUCAUAGUACACAUCGGUCGGGAGCUCUCCCGGGGCAGUCCUGUUAGUUCUCUUAUAUACUGCUUACACAGACAAGUUAUAUUUGGAUGAUUUACAUGAUUCAUUAUUCAUGAUUAAUUCAUUUGGUUAUUGCUUAAACUAUCAAAGGAGGUUCUAUCAAAAUAUGUCAUUAUAAGUAAGCAAAAUCAACACAUAAAACCAGACACUUCAUCCUUUCAAACCCUUCAUUCUGGGUUGUACAAUCCAACUUGUAAAACCAUUGCAGUAGAAUGUUUUAACUUAAGACCUUCGCUUCAUACAGUUACACAUAUGCUUCAUUACACAACACUGUUUUCAUUGAUGGAAGUGGUUUGGACUCUCGUUUGAUUGGUAUCUCUUUCACAGGUACUGUCCAUUCUUUUACAUUACUGUACAUACAUUACUAUAUUUCACUGUAUAUAUUAUUGUUCAUUGCUAUUUUUUGUAAAUGUUGCACAAAGACCAACAUUUUAUUCUAAUUGCGGUGAAUAUGUCCUGUAUUACAAAUCAAUUGCUAUAGUUAGUGUGUGAAUAAGUUUGUUGUACAAAGGAUUAUACACUAUUAUACAAAUGGCUGUGAUUUCAUUAAAGUAAACACCAAGGUAAAGUAAUCUUCUCUGAGUUGCUUUGAUGUUGACUUUAUUAAUAAGAUACAUGCAUUUCGAUUGUGCUCCAACACUAUCAUAAAUAUGCCUUUGAUUUCAUUAAAUUAAACCUCAACUUAAA